RNAcentral lists this long non-coding RNA (686 nucleotides) under Homo sapiens (human). Its description in RNAcentral is "LHRI_LNC2132.1". Lineage: Eukaryota; Metazoa; Chordata; Mammalia; Primates; Hominidae. The record is from RNAcentral.
AGCGCACGGUGCUGCCCAAACUCCCAACUCCAUGGAGCUCGGGCCACCGAGACUGGGGGCGUCCUCCCGCCAGCGCGUCCCCGGUCCCCCCAAGGGGCCAAGAGGGGAGCUGGCCAGGGUCUCCGCCCCAGAGCCGCCAACUCGCCGAAAACACUCAGGUUUGAAAGCGAGAGGGAGGCAGAAAUAAAAACCAGCGUUCGAGUCACCCACCCUCACCUUCCCCCUCCUCAGGGGUAAGCUUUCGCUCGAGCCUCGCGAUUCCCACCCGUGUAAGUUUCCUCCGGCCGUGCUCCCGCCGCUGCCCAAUCAAUAACGGCGGCUAGCGGGCAAACUCCCAUCCUAGAGCUGCGUGUUUGCCAUGCCCGCAUAAACGUGGACCCAGCCAGUACCCACCACGGGCGCCAGCUCCGGGCAGCUCGCGUCCUGACAAAGUUUCCCGUGCCCAUUUAUUAAGCAGGCGCCGAAUGGCUGCCGACAAGCCCAGCACUGAGAAAGACGGGCCGGGGGUUCGAGCUGGGGGGCACCAGGGCCCAAAGGCUGGCAUCUUGGGGAAGCCGGAAGGAGCUGGGGCGAGGGGGCACCGGGACGUAGCCUUUGGGCAACUUGCACCAGCGAUCGCUGGAGGCAGGGAGACGCGGGGAUUAUCUGUGCCUUAGCACGUUCGAAAAUCCCUCCCCCUCCUUCUA